CCUUGUCUUAUGAACUUUUCUGGGCUCUGAACCAUAUUUCGACUUUGUGAUAAAUCCAUAGAUAACGAUAGAAAAUAAACAGGCACUCGAAAACAGGUACAUGUUCGAGAAUCAUUAAGCAACACUUAGUGGUUAGAGAUAAAAACCAACAACAAUAACACACUUCAGAUUUUUCAUAAUGCUUUUUCAUGCUAAGUACAAUGCUCAAUAUUCUUCAUUUUGUUUUCUGAAUCUCGCAACAGGGGUUUAUAAGCUACAGAAAUUAGGCGUUUCGUCGUACAAUUCUUCAGAUGAGCUACAAACAUCUUCACCUACAGCCUACAAUGGCGAUUGCCCGACCAUCUCUUCAUAUAACUUCUCAAACUAAAUGCUCAUUCAUUGCCGGACCAACAAACAGUAAUGUAGAUUUUGAACUACUUCAAGCAACACAGAUGAUGGCAUGGCAGAAAUACGUAAGACGCCUGCUAAUCAUACCUUUGAAGUCUGAGAUCCAGGGGGCAAGAAUGAGUCCCACCACCCGGAUUCAUACUUCGGGUAUGGUGCUGUCCAUUUUUCCGGUUUUUCAAAUUCAAUACUAACAGGAGUACAUGCCAAAGCUUCUUCUACACUGUCAGCCUCGUAGCCCUCUUGUAAAACUCUGUCUAGCCUCAAUUUCAUGAACCUGCAAGUUUUGAAAAAUAGAUCAGGAGAAAUAUCGAAAAUGUGCAACUUCACCCUUCUGCGAUAUGAAAUAUCUUAAAUUUACAUUUACCAUCCGUUAUACUUUGGGGUCAUUCAUACCCUUGCCUCUAGCAAAUCUUCGCGUAAUUGCCCUUGUCUUUGUGGUGGACGGGGUGAUUCUACAUAUCAAAAAUACAUUGGGGGAAGACCCAAUUUUACCCCUCUAGUUUUUUAUGGUUUAAAUUUACUCACCGUUAUACUUCAUGUUGGAGUUUCGUCAGGGUCAAGGGCAAGGGCAAGUACGAGAUGAUUUGAUGACGUUGAAGAUACAAAUGACUCUAAACUAUACCAAAUGGUAAAGUUAAGAUAACUCGUAUAGUAUAGGGGUAUAUUUGACCAUUUUUCCGUGAUUAUAACUUGCUUACUAAAGACUGCAAUCUUUUGAUGAUGCAUACAGACAGGAAAGUGGAGUAAUUAGUAUGUCGAUUAUUUAACAAUGACAGCCCCUUACGUGAUCCAUGGGCCAUUCGUUGAAACAAGUGCUACAGCGGGUCUCUUCAGUCUCUUGGUGAUAUUAGGGAACUUGUCCAAGAACUUUGGCUCAACUACAAGCCAGAAAUCUGGUUCCAUGUUGCGCUCUUCAUAGAGGCGACGACGUUCAAACAUUUGCUCCUGGAAAUGCUCCUCUUCGUCCAGCAUAAAUUUGGCAUUUGCAACAAGAAAAUGGUACUUCUUACUUUCCGUCUCUUGCUGUAUAUGCAACAGAAUACCCGCAUCAACAUUCCUAACAUUGAACUAAAGCAAAAUGGCGCCAAAUAGGGAGUUACCGAAAAUUUGUCUUUUUCCUUUCCAAUGAAAGGACCUGUCACAGAUGACCAACAUAUACAUUCAUAGGCGAGUGAGAGUAGGACUAAUAAAAGAACAUGAACUACAUACCCUGAUCCUCUAAGAGAUGGUAGUUGGAACUUCAGACUAUUCCUCAAAACCGUCACUUUGACCUCCUCAAGGAACUAAUUUUCAUAUUGCUAAAUGAAAAAUGAACUAAGUUUUGAUCAGAGAAGAACUAGUGCAAUCACUCAAUCAACACAAUCAGCCACAGGUUAAACCCAAAUCAGUCAGGAUUUGCUAUAUGAAUCCUAUAUAACAUUCUGCUCUAAGUUUUAUUGCAUACAAUACUACCUAAUUUGCUUAUAAAGGCAAAUUUACAGGCUUUGCCAAUCUCUCACUUAUCCCAACACCACAUAGGUAGAAGUAAAAUUUGUGUACACUCACUCUCCCACGACUCCACUUGAGGGAUCUCACCGAGUAUGUUAUUGUUGAACUUAGAGAGCUCAACUAAGUAACACUCUUUUAUAAAAAAAAGUCUUGAGAGUUUCCUUGUCUUAUGAACUUUUCUGGGCUCUGAACCAUAUUUCGACUUUGUGAUAAAUCCAUAGAUAACGAUAGAAAAUAAACAGGCACUCGAAAACAGGUACAUGUUCGAGAAUCAUUAAACAACACUUAGUGGUUAGAGAUAAAAACCAACAACAAUAACACACUUCAGAUUUUUCAUAAUGCUUUUUCAUGCUAAGUACAAUGCUCAAUAUUCUUCAUUUUGUUUUCUGAAUCUCG
RNAcentral lists this long non-coding RNA (2271 nucleotides) under Solanum tuberosum (potato). RNAcentral's name for it is "long non-coding RNA (STUB_LNC006073)". Lineage: Eukaryota; Viridiplantae; Streptophyta; Magnoliopsida; Solanales; Solanaceae. The record is from RNAcentral.